CGGGGUGUGGCGCAGUGGUAGCGCGCACGGUUCGGGACCGUGAGGUCGUGAGUUCAAAUCUCACNNGUUCGAGUCCUGUCACCCCGACCC
This 90-nucleotide transfer RNA is filed under the name Patescibacteria group bacterium. RNAcentral describes it as "tRNA-Pro". The stretch from base 1 to 72 matches the Rfam family "tRNA". Rfam says of the family: Transfer RNA (tRNA) molecules are approximately 80 nucleotides in length. Their secondary structure includes four short double-helical elements and three loops (D, anti-codon, and T loops). The record is from RNAcentral.